UCAUGUUACUUGUUUCUUCUUCCCUUUUUUUUCCUCAUUCCAUUUCUACAUGUAACUAAACAUACUUUCAUCUCUGAGUUCAGCUGCUGAUACCAACUGCAUCAGUAUGGCUUAAACUGGAAUGCUUCUUAAAAAAAAAAAAAAAAAAAAAAAAGGAAGCCUUUUUCUUUUUCUUUUCCCACUCUAUUCACCACUGAGAAAAAGAUUCUUUACAAAAGUGGCUGGAGAUAAAAAUAGAUAACCCAAAAGCUUGAGUUUGGAGAUGUGGUUGUGUUCAUCAAGGUAGAGAUUUAAGAACAAUUCAGUCUGAGCUGCAAAAUCCCUGAAGGCUGAAUUUGUCUUUUUUCAAGGCUGGCUGCCUUCAUCUUGAAUAUUAUUUGUGGAAUAUUGGGGGGGGGAACAUCACUUCUGCUGUGAAGUGUAUUUGUAGGUUGAAUUUGGAUGUAGGACAUUUUGAUAGAAGUGAAAAUUAUGGGGUAAUAGGGAAAAGCAAGCCCUUUGGGGUGGUAAGCAGAAUUGGUCUUCCUGUUAAAUGCUUCUUCCCUGAGGUCUUGACAAGGUGAUGGCUUUUGGAAACCAGAGGUCCUCAGUAUCAUGUGUGUGCUGCACCAGGUGCCGUGGCUUCUGUCAGUCACUUGUGAGUUUGCCUUGCUUUCUGCAAACCAUUGUAGAUUAUCAUUGUCUGCUUCAUAGAAACUGGCUGAAUGGACCUUUUGGGUUCCUAAGCAUAUGUCAUCUUUCCGAGAAAAUUAGAUGGUACAUAUCCUUUCUGACCUUUGGCUUCUGCUAGCCACCAUUCUUUAUUGCCACUCAGGUCAGAAAACCGAAGUAUCCUAACCUUCUGAUACUCCUGAAGACUGAGUUCUUGAUCACUUCUUGCUUGAAAUGCAUAAACAGCAUAGAAGGUCUGAAAAAGGAAAGCCACAAAAUGCAAAAUCUGAAUUCAGAAAUGUGCCACGUCUUAGCUGGCCAUUGCAUGUUAGUACAAGUUCUGUAUGUACAAUGUGUCUAAUAACAUGUAUAUAUAUGGUCUGUAAUUACUUGUAACUGCAUGGUCUGUAAUUGCUUACAGUAUACGAAGAACAGGGCCAAAGUAAUAAGUAAAACUGAAGGGUCUUAGGAAUUCUGCGUAGGAAGGAACAAAAUAAGCUCAUCAGGAGAGCACUGUGCUAAAGUUUUCAGCUCAGAUCAUGCAGCCUUGCAUUGGCUGGAGAAUUUACAAGGUUUCAAAGGAGAGAAAGACCUCGUCUAAAUCUCUUACUCUUAAAUAUGGCAGCUGUUAGGAUGGAUCUCUCAAAUCGUCUUCUCAGCUGCCAGAGAUCCUAUCUGCAGUGAUCUGGUCUGAAGAUGGUAAAAAUUUCAGACACCUCUGUGCCUUGCUGAUCAUCUUUGCUACACUGUCUUGUUAAAGGUAAGUGGAAAAAUCCCCAAGCAGCUCAAAUGAGAACUGUGAGACAUUGUACAUGUAGUGGUAUAAUGUGAAGAUGUGUUUUCUGUGAGACAAGAUUGAGAUUUGCAGUUGAACUGAUUAUCUUUUACUGCUUUGUAGCUAUUUAAAAAAGCCAAAGGACAGAGGAUAGCAAAUUCCCCAUGUCAUUCUGACAGAUUAGUACAAGAAUUUUCCAGUGCAAAAGGAACUAUUUAAAUUACAGCCAUUAUAACGGUGGAUUUGAGAUGAGAAAAAUAAGAAGGGCUCAGCAGGUAUCCUACUUACAUGCUGAUCAUCCACAUCCUGAGAAUCUCCAGCCUCUGUGCUAUUAGUUGUGGGAUUUUUACAGGGGUGAAGAGAUGAGUUGCUGUCACUCUUCUUGUGCCCUGAACUUGAGCUGCUGUCAGAGGAUGGCCGUGAAGAGACAAAGAGGCUGAUGUUAUCAAAAUCAUCAUCACACAAGUUGCUAUCUGCUAUGUCCUUCUGCGCUUUGGCUGGAUUGAAAGGCUUCAGGAAGGAGGAAUAUACAUAUCCCUUGAGGACUGGAUAUCACAGUAAAAAGACAGAAAAUUUAAAAAAAAAAAAAAAAAAAAAAAAUGCUGUUAAACCAUUUUAUGCAGCUGUCAGUACAACAUAAGCAGACAGAUGGGGCCAGAAUGAAAAGAAAUCAAUAGGAGGCUGUUAUUGGGAUGUUUGUGCAGAGAACUUACUUCCUGUGUCAACGAGCCAUCUGCUAGUACUUUGGAAGGGAUCCUUUUGCUCCACAACAGCCACCACUUCUCCUUCAUGCAGAUCAAUAUCAAAUUCCUGCGUGGCAUUGCACUUGCGCUUAGCUUGAUACAGCAGUUCUGCGCUGUACGUAGACAGCAGCUUGGACCUGUGGUCUUCUGUUUGACGUGGGGAUUCGAGCUGAAAAGACUACAAAAAUUGUUCAGUAGGAAUAAUGUCGAGGCUGCUUGUUGAGCAGCACAGAUGCAUAAAAACCAGCGUACAUUCUGCAUGUGGCAACUGACUACACUUCUACAUCCAGAUAAAGGAGUUACACAGCUGUAUGUAACCAAAUGCCCUUUGCAUGUGCAGAAGGGGUCUGUCCAACUGCUAUGGUGAUAGCUGACCGAUAACAGGCAGAUCUCGAAAGAUAUAUAGGAGUAUAACUAAUUAAGUACUUCUUAGCCAGUACUCUGUUCUCAUGAGCCUGUGUUCUGUAUGUGAAAUGUCACUGCUUUAACUGUUUUUACAGAACUGUGAUCUUUGAAUUCCUCUGUGAAGUUGCAAAAAGUGUAAUCAAAAAUUAUCAGAGGUGUGCUAAGGUUAUGUAGCAACUUGCACAGCAAAGCACUGGAGCAGAAAAUGAGUAGAAACAGAAUAGUCUGCUUUUUGUACAAAAUUCCCAUGCUGUAUAUGGCAAGGUGCUAUGAACUGCUGGAAGCGUGUUUGGUUAGAGGGCCAAAAGAGAGGGGCUGUACGUCCCUGUGACUUUAACACACUGAGAGAAAGAGCACAUGUUCCUGCCUCUCUGAUGCAAAAAUGAAUCCUGCAGCUUCCUUGGCUUCUACUGAAAUCUGACUUUGUGUGGUAGGGUUAAGUAGACCCUUUGAAUGCUCUGUAAAUGUCUGAUAAGAUUAGGAACUACAGACGUGGAUCCCUUAGUGGACUUUAUGAAUCUUCUGUUCUGGGGUAUGUGUGUUAAUUUGUGUAUACAUACAAAUACACAUAGAAAAGCCGGAUGAGAAGUUCUGAAUAAAAGUAAGACAUGCUGCAAGAGUUCUUAACAAGAGAAGCAAUCCAAUUUUACAUAUACAGCCUUAAGAUGUGCACAGAGAUCUAAGGAUAAUCAGAGGUGAUCUCAAGUGGAUUUCCAAGAUAACAACACGAGUGUGAAGAGUCUUAAAAAGUUACCGGCCAAUGGAACAGCUUCAUUCACAUAACACAAUUCAGAUUCCCAGUGAAGGGACAAAAGCCAGAUCUCUGAAUGAUAUAAACAUGGAUUUGUUUCAAAAGUGAUCAGAAAAGGAUUCUUUAAAGGACUCAGAUGUACGAUACUCACUGGAGAUGGGACAGGUUUCUUUUUUUCCAAGCUCAGUUUUCUUUCAAUGAAGGUUGCACUGCUGUUUUCUUUUACAAAAUUCAGCUUGUGAACCUCCUCCAUUAACUGAUGCUGCACUUCACAGAUGCUUGAGGAAGACAGCUGUAAACAAAAAGCCCUUUUCUGCCUCUAAAGUCAGCUCUUGGUGGAAUGGGAUACUCCAGAAGGGCCUCACUGCAACGUGUUUCUUAUGCAGUGUUUUGUCCAAACACAGUUGCCUAAACAUGCCUCUGGUUCAGGCUGUUCAGGGCCGACCUAAAGAAACCAAGGCUAAAAUACUAAGAACUGCCUCCAUUUUGCCCUAUUGUCUCUCCACUGAUAUUACUGGAGCAGCUGCGUUAUGGUCACUCUCAAUAAAAGGUCCAAGACUGACAAAACUCAAGCUGAGAACUUAACCUUUGCUACGCUUGCAAAGAAGAAAAAAAAAAUUGACUGUGCUCACCAAAACAAUCAAAAUCGCAGUAGCUUUUAGGCACGUGUCCUACACAUCCUACCCAAUGCAUACAGAAAGAAAGAAAGAGAGAUAAAUAGGGCUUAUGCCUAUUUAUAAUGUACUUACUGGAACAGGCACCACCACAGCAGAAUUUGAUUGAAGUGCUGCAGACAUAAUACUUCUGAGGAGGGUAAUGAAGCAAUACAGACAGUUCAACACAAUCUUUUUGGCUGCUCUGUUGAAUACCUGAAGUUCUUCCACUAGCUGUGCAUUUAAAGCCUCAUAGUCUUUCUUUGCUAGAUCAAGCUCUUCUCCUGUUGACCUCUGGAGGUAGCUGUUGUAGUCCAACAGUUUGUCAUAGCGCUUCUGGAUGAGCUUCUGUGGGCCUGAAAACAAGGCUUGUAGUGCUGAGAGAGGAGUCAAAACAACCUUGUCUAGCUGAGCCAUCUGGAAAGAUAUAAAACAGUCCCACAUGUUACUUCUUUCUCGCAACUCUUCAGACUUCAGGUUCAGCCUCAUUGCAGCCCAUCAAGCAAUCUGUUAUUGACCCUUCCCAAAGUAUUGCUGUCAGGGGCAGCUUCACAGUACAGGGUAUAGCAUAAGUUAGAAAUCUUUCGUAAUGUUGCAAAGGAGGAGGUAACAGAUUUGCAGCUUAUGGUGUCUGAUAAUGGAAAUGGCCCCCUGGAGCCCAUAGCAUAUGUUACUGUCCUUUGUGAUACCAUGGAGGAAAGACCAAGGCAAGGAUCAGUGAAGGAUAACCAUGAGGACUGAAACUGAAGAGUAGGUGAAUGUGCUUUUCAGUGCCUUGUGGUGCUGCACUCAAGUAAAACUGAGAAUUCAGCCAAAUAAAAUAAAUAGCAGUAAAUCAAUUCCUGUUUAAGCAAACACAGACGCUGAUUUUAAAAAAAAUCCUUCUUAGACAUUCCUAUUAGCCUCUAAUCGUCUCAAAGCAUUAACAUUGCACUAAAAAAAAUAUAUUUUUGAUAGUCACACGUUGUAAUAUAGCACAGACUUUUGAUGAGUAAACCUCAUCAUCAAGUUAAAGCCCUUGGAUGUUCUAUGUGAAAUAGCUUGUUGGAUCAAGCGUGGGAAUAAAAGUGCAGCCAUCCCUCUUCCCCUCCAUAGCACGCCAUGGUUGAGGGCACAUCUGUUUUAGGACCAGGACCCAAGGCCAAGAUGCUGUGCUUGUCUUAUUUCCACUUGAAAAACUAGGCUGUGUUUAGUGAAGCAGUUUUUGAUGUGUUUCAAAAAAAAAAAGCUUUUUCCAAACUGCUGUUCUUGAUUUCCAGAAGUGAAGGGGCUACCGUGGAUUUCUGCCCUAAAGUUUUCCCUAAAACACAAGGGAGGAAAAUAUCCAUUACUGACAAAUGCAGAAAGGGAAAAAAAAAAAAAAAAUUAACGUGAGCCUAUUGCUGAGAUCUCCAUUGAUAACACACACACAGAAGGACGUGUAAACAUCUGCUCACCAUACAAAGUAAAUUUAGGAUUUCAUUUUGUAUUCAAGGAUCCAGACCUGCUGGAUGUCCAAAACCACAGCCCUGAUAAACUCUCCCUUAAAGCUUUUCAAAAAUAUCAGGUAUCCGAGGCUGGGUGAGUAUUCUGGCAAGCUGUUGCCAGACAUUUGUUCUUUUCUGAUGUUCCUACAGCCAUUGUCAGAGGGAAGCUCCUCAGAAAGAUGGAUUUCUCAUAUAUUUAGGGCUACCAAAAGUGUCCUUACCUUAGAAAUAGCUUUACCUAUCAGCCUGGUGUGUACUGAGCAGGCCUACAGAUACAUAAUGCACAGCAAUUGAAGAGUGCCUGGAUUUUCAGAUUUGACACUGCACUGUUGACAAGCACUGCUGAGGAGCUCAGAGCUCUCUAAGCACAUUUAUUAGACAAUGAGGUGGUAGUAAAGGGCUCUGAAUGAAUUGGCAUCCAAAUUAAGUAGCUUCAUAAACCACAAGUGUUGAAAGACAUUGCAAAACCAGUGCAGUUAGUAAUUAGAGAACCAGACAGGCUUAGAGAAAUUAAAACUGAGAGUGUUUUGUCACAUAUGUCCUGGAGAAGUCUAUGCAUUCUACAGAUAUUGCUUAGUGUUCUUAAAAUUUCCACAUGUACAGU
This is a long non-coding RNA of Centrocercus urophasianus (Greater sage-grouse), 6048 nucleotides long. RefSeq lists it as uncharacterized. The record is from RefSeq and is a predicted model, not a curated record. The transcript has 4 exons. NCBI's taxonomy places the organism in Eukaryota, Metazoa, Chordata, Aves, Galliformes, Phasianidae.